CCAAAGUGAAAGGUGGUUUUCAC
RNAcentral lists this non-coding RNA (23 nucleotides) under Arabidopsis thaliana (thale cress). The record is from RNAcentral. Lineage: Eukaryota; Viridiplantae; Streptophyta; Magnoliopsida; Brassicales; Brassicaceae.